This 465-nucleotide ribosomal RNA is filed under the name uncultured bacterium. RNAcentral's name for it is "partial 16S ribosomal RNA". It matches the Rfam family "Bacterial small subunit ribosomal RNA", at positions 338 to 795 of the family's 1533-position model. The record is from RNAcentral.
CCUACGGGGGGCAGCAGUGGGGAAUAUUGCGCAAUGGGCGAAAGCCUGACGCAGCGACGCCGCGUGAGGGAUGAAGGUCUUCGGAUCGUAAACCUCUGUCAGCAGGGAAGAACGGUCACUGUGCUAAUCAGCAGUGAAUUGACGGUACCUGCAAAGGAAGCACCGGCUAACUCCGUGCCAGCAGCCGCGGUAAUACGGAGGGUGCGAGCGUUAAUCGGAAUUACUGGGCGUAAAGCGCUCGUAGGCGGUAUGUCAAGUCAAGGGUGAAAGCCCCGCGCUCAACGUGGGAACUGCCUUUGAAACUGGCAAACUGGAGUGUGUGAGAGGAUAGUGGAAUUCCAGGGGUAGGAGGGAAAUCCGUAGAUAUCUGGAGGAACAUCAGUGGCGAAGGCGACUAUCUGGCACAUAACUGACGCUGAGGAGCGAAAGCGUGGGUAGCAAACAGGAUUAGAUACCCCAGUAGUC